GCAAUGGUUUGGAUUUGGGCAACAAUUGGGUUGCUUGCACUUGUUCACAUCCUGCAAGCAUGGUGCAAGAACAAGAAGAAGAGGUUACCUCCUGGUCCAAGAGGGUUCCCCAUUUUUGGAAGCCUUCACUUGCUAUCAGGGGAGUUCCCUAACAAGGAUCUUCACCGACUAGCCCAAAAAUAUGGCGACAUCAUGUACUUGCCCUUAGGCCUUAUGCCCACCAUUGUUGUCUCAUCUCCACAAGCUGCCAAGCUGUUCCUGAAAACACACGACCUUGUGUUUGCUAGCAGGCCACCUCAUGAAGGUGCAAAGCACAUCUCUUUUGGGCAGAGGAACUUGAGCUUCGCUGAAUAUGGCCCGUAUUGGCGCGACAUGCGGAAGAUGUGCACCCUUGAGUUGCUCAGCAACCACAAAAUCAACUCUUUUAAGUCCAUGAGGCGAGAAGAGGUUGCUCUCUGUGUUGAGUCUAUUCGAGACGCUGCCUAUAAGGGACGUGUUGCUGUUGAUCUGAGUGACAUUGUCUCAUCUCUCAGCGUGGACAUGAGCUGCCGGAUGGUGCUUGGGAAGAAGUACAGGGAUGAGGAUUUUGAUGCGAGGGGUUUCAGGUC
This 608-nucleotide long non-coding RNA is filed under the name Prunus dulcis (almond). RNAcentral describes it as "sRNA ncRNA". The record is from RNAcentral. Lineage: Eukaryota; Viridiplantae; Streptophyta; Magnoliopsida; Rosales; Rosaceae.